RNAcentral lists this long non-coding RNA (917 nucleotides) under Carassius auratus (goldfish). Its description in RNAcentral is "lncRNA (ENSCARG00000003553.1)". Lineage: Eukaryota; Metazoa; Chordata; Actinopteri; Cypriniformes; Cyprinidae. The record is from RNAcentral.
AUGACAAUGGUGAUCCACUUCCCGGAUUUGUACCGUUCUGAGUCCACGCCAGAGGGUGGCUUUGUCCUGCUGGUAAUUCAUCUUUCACGGAGAUGCUGCAAGAGUCAAAUCGACGGUGGUCCCCCAGGUCACCGUGGCCACCAGAUCCAGUCUGUGUCCAGAUCAGAGGGUCACUGCAGUCACCCGGAUCCAGUACGUAUCCAGACCAGAUGGUGGAUCAGCACCUAGAAAGGACCUCUACUGCCCUGAAAGACAGCGGAGACCAGGACAACUAGAGUCCCAGAUACAGAUGCCCUGUAAAGACCUUGUCUCAGAGGAGCACCAGGACAAGACCACAGGAAACAGAUGAUUCUUCUGCACAAUCUGACUUUGCUGCAGCCUGGAAUUGAACUACUGGUUUCGUCUGGUCAGAGGAGAACUGGCCCCCCAACUGAGCCUGGUUUCUCCCAAGGUUUUUUUCUCCAUUCUGUCACCGAUGGAGUUUCGGUUCCUUGCCGCUGUCGCCUCUGGCUUGCUUAGUUGGGGUCACUUCAUCUACAGCGAUAUAUCAUUGACUUGAUUGCAAAUUAAAACAGACACUAUUUCAACUGAACAGAGAUGACAUAACUGAAUUCAAUGAUGAACUGCCUUUAACUAUCAUUUUGCAUUAUUGAGACACUGUUUUCCAAAUGAAUGUUGUUCAGUGCUUUGGCGCAAUGUAUUUUGUUUAAAGCACUAUAUAAAUAAAGGUGAUUGAUUGAUUGAUUGAUAUGCGCUCACUUUCGCGUAUUCAUCGCGGGGAUAAAGAACACGUUUUUGUUUAACGAUCAUAGGCAUAGUUACAGUAUGUCCAAUAACAAUACAACACGAUAUAAUAAAAAUCAGAGAUGGUCUAAAUGUCCUUUGAAAUCACGCUAACCACUUGUUUUGGUAUGUGG